CUACGGGGGGCAGCAGUGAGGAAUUUUGCGCAAUGGGGGGAACCCUGACGCAGCAACGCCGUGUGAGUGAAGAAGGCCUUUGGGUCGUAAAGCUCUGUCAACUGGGAAGAAGUUACUGUGCUUUAAUAGAGUGCAGUAUUGACGGUACCAGUGGAGGAAGCGUCGGCUAACUCCGUGCCAGCAGCCGCGGUAACACGGGGGACGCAAGCGUUAUUCGGAAUUAUUGGGCGUAAAGGGCGCGUAGGCGGUCUUGUCGGUCAGGUGUGAAAGCCCGGGGCUCAACCCCGGACGUGCACUUGAAACAGCAAGACUUGAGUACGGGAGAGGAAAGCGGAAUUCCUGGUGUAGAGGUGACAUUCGUAGAUAUCAGGAGGAACACCGAUGGCGAAGGCAGCUUUCUGGACCGAAACUGACGCUGAGGCGCGAAGGCGUGGGUAGCGAACGGGAUUAGAUACCCCAGUAGUC
Molecule: ribosomal RNA, 465 nt
Filed under: uncultured bacterium
Lineage: Bacteria
Description: partial 16S ribosomal RNA
Rfam family: Bacterial small subunit ribosomal RNA
Source: RNAcentral